Helianthus annuus (common sunflower) is the source of this 1916-nucleotide long non-coding RNA. RefSeq lists it as uncharacterized. The record is from RefSeq and is a predicted model, not a curated record. The transcript is spliced from 3 exons. Lineage: Eukaryota; Viridiplantae; Streptophyta; Magnoliopsida; Asterales; Asteraceae.
AAAAGUGGUAUAAAAAUAAAGGACAAAACUUGUAAUUUUUCCUUUUAUUUAUUAUGCAUGCAUGUUUCUCUUUUGUUCUGGUUUUCUUAUUAAACUAUGAACCUUUUAGUGUAACUUAUUUCUUUUGGUACAUUUAUUAUUAUUUCUGCUCUUAGUUUAAUUAAAUUAAGAAUCUAUCUUUAAUUGGUUGAAAACGGAAAAGCUCAGCAAGUACUCAGCAAAUCUCAACGCUCAUAUAGAAUUGUUAGAUAUUGCUGGCCUUGUGAAGGAGAGCUGUGAUACCCGAUUAUUUUUAUUUAUUUAAUACUAGUUUAUUCUUUAGAAAUAAAUAAAGUUAACGAGAUUUAUGGUUAUGGUUUUUUUUUUCCUUACGUUUAUAAUAUGAUGUGAUAAAUAUGAAUAAUUAUGUUUUUUUUAAGACUAAAUAAAUUAUUUGUUACGACUAUAAUUAGUAUAAUGCAAAGGUAUUAGGUAAUUUACUUUUGAAUUCAAAUAAUAGAAUUUGGUUUCUGUUUGACUACUUUUCUUUCUAUGGUUAAAUAAUAAAUAAUAAAUCUCAAGGAGAUAAAGAAAAAUGAUAUGUUAUUACGAUAGGUUUGCAAAUAUGUAGGGAUUAUGUGAAUAAGUGUUAGUAAUUCAAAUGACUAUUUUCCUUUAUUAUCCAAUCAUCCAUUCCAUGAAUGUUGGCUGAAAUCUCUACCGAAUUAAACCACAAAUAAGGAUGAAGCCCUCCCAUAAAUACAUAGACGCAUACUCUAGGUAAACAUUAGACAUAGAUUUAGGGAGAAGACGAAAGCUUCUGUUCGAGUUGUUCCGGAGCGUGGCCGUCAUUUGAGUCUUGUUAAGGCGUUCCCGAGAGAGGCGAUCACAACGUUGUUUGACUAGUUAACUUUGUUAAGGUUAGUUAAGAUUGUUAGACAUGAAGCCGGUGAGGAACGGGUAGAGAAACUUUCACAGGACGUUUAUGUUAUUAAUUAUAUGUAAAGGUUCGUUUAUGAUUCUGUUGUUGCUAUGAACGACAAGUAACACCCAACUUUUUUUUUGACAAUUAAAUCAUUUUUUUUAAAUGGUUUUAUGGUUUAAAUAUAUGACUGGGAGUUUCCGCUGCGAAAGAAAUUAUUGAAAUCUAAUAUUUUUAUUAAAGAAAAAUGCGGGGUGUUACAAGAGCAGUUAAGAAAAUACUUGCAGACUGUUAUAAGAUGAUUGAAACUGGCGAAGGUGUUGAUUGGGCAGUUGCAGAAGCGUUAGCGUUUGCAACGUUACUGGUGGAAGGAAAUCACGUGAGAUUACCCGGUAACCCACCCGUCCGUAGGCACGACGGUGAAAUUACCAGUAAAACCCGUUUGGCUCAAGAACCCAACCCAGGUUUCCCUGGGUCUCCUAUCAUUGCCCACCAGUGCCUCACUCCGCACCAAGUGGGAGUUGAACCUGCAUCUUUCAAGAGAAAUGCAAACCUUCCACCACUUGAUCUAGAGAUCAUUGGCGGUAUGUGGCCAUUGAAACAUAUUUUUCUUAUAAUAUAUUCUAGUGUACACUUGCUUAACUUGUGAUACGAGGGUAUCAUAUCCAAAAUCUGAGUUCUUGAUUGGAACUCAAAGUAGCAAGCUUUCUUAAGGGGGGUGGGGGUGGUCACUAGUGAUAGAAUUCCAUCACUCACAAUAUCCAAUCAUGUUCCGCCAUGUCAGCAAUCAUUUUUCCAUCACUCACAAUCUUUUUUAGUGGCGGUGGUCAUCACUCACCACCACACCCAACAAUUUCCCCCCAACCAACAAUUACCCUCGCCAAAAAAACCAUCACGCCGUUAAAAAAAUAACGAAAUCGGGUUUUCGUUAUUGUAUCACGCGUUGAACAAAGAGUGGCGGCAGCUAUUUUAUGCUAUCACGCGUUGAUUUUGUUCCGCCCCCAUGUAAACCCUC